GGUUUAAUAAACAGGUCUGAGAGUGUUCACUGUGAAGAGAGGUUUAAUAAACAGGUCUGAGAGUGUUCACUGUGAAGAGAGGUUUAAUAAACAGGUCUGAGAGUGUUCACUGUGUGUAGAGGUUUAAUAAACAGGUCUGAGAGUGUUCACUGUGAAGAGAGGUUUAAUAAACAGGUCUGAGAGUGUUCACUGUGAAGAGAGGUUUAAUAAACAGGUCUGAGAGUGUUCACUGUGAGGAGAGGUUUAAUAAACAGGUCUGAGAGUGUUCACUGUGUGGAGAGGUUUAAUAAACAGGUCUGCCUCUUUCCUCCGUAUUAAAGAGAACCUGAAGAACCACAAACAAUGUAGGGAAUAUUCCACUAACAGUUAAAGUUAAUCACAGUCUUUAUGUGUUACUAUGUAUUAGUGUUUAGCCAGUGUAACAGAGUAAGAAAAUAUAUCCUGCUUUUAUUUGUGUAUUUCGUCAAAGUAAUACUCAGCCUAAAGGAAGACAUGGAGGAGACGUCUUUAAGGUCAUUUACAGUCAUCUAUGAAUAUCUCAGAGCAUCUGUUUAUGCCGUAUCCCAUGACCCACCACUACACGUACUCAUGCAAACACAUGUCCCACCACGUAUUUGUGUGUGUGUUAUGUGUGUGUGUGUGUGUGUGUGUGUGUGUGUGUGUGUGUGUGUGUGUGUG
RNAcentral lists this long non-coding RNA (678 nucleotides) under Salmo salar (Atlantic salmon). RNAcentral's name for it is "lncRNA (ENSSSAG00000118113.1)". The record is from RNAcentral. Lineage: Eukaryota; Metazoa; Chordata; Actinopteri; Salmoniformes; Salmonidae.